This 278-nucleotide long non-coding RNA is filed under the name Medicago truncatula (barrel medic). RNAcentral describes it as "long non-coding RNA (MTRU_LNC007433)". Lineage: Eukaryota; Viridiplantae; Streptophyta; Magnoliopsida; Fabales; Fabaceae. The record is from RNAcentral.
GUUUUAGGGAGUUAAGGAAAGAAAAGUCAGAAAACAGUUUAACGUGAAAACAAGUGGAGAAGAGAAAAGCUAAGGCAAGGAGAGAAGACCAAGAGAGAAGAACUUAGGAACUGAUUUUGCUGUGCUAUUUGUCUUUGCAAUUCUAAGGUAAGGGUGGGAUUAUCUUUCAAUAGUCAUAAUAUGUAAUUUCUGAAAAUUAAUCAAUUAAACUGUUCUUAAGGUAAAAUUGGGAAAAUAAGGGUUAAUGAUGAUUUUGAAAGAAAAGGUGUAAGAAUCAG